CUCUAAAAAUAGUAGUAGAUAUCACAGCAAAAUUUGUUUAUGGUAACUCUGAAAAUAGUAAGCACAAAAAAGUUAUCGACUAUCGUAAAGCGCAAACCGGUUUGCGUAUCACUAUUAGUUGGUAUUUUUUAACUGAGUGGCGUCGGAAAAGAGCUGUGCUUUGUGCUACGAAUUUUUUAUUUUAACCUCAACCAAUGGAUAGAUACUUGACGAAGCGAUCGGUUGAAGAAAUUUUGCAUGGAAGUAGCGCCAGUGAUUCUGAUUGUGAAAUACAUUCAAAAUUGUAUAUGUAGGUAUGUACAUGAUACAAGUAUUUAAAGAGCAACUACAACGCUGAAA
Molecule: long non-coding RNA, 339 nt
Organism: Rhagoletis zephyria (snowberry fruit fly)
Lineage: Eukaryota; Metazoa; Arthropoda; Insecta; Diptera; Tephritidae
Source: RefSeq, a predicted model, not a curated record